This 59-nucleotide transfer RNA is filed under the name Spirobrachia sp. YL-2014. Its description in RNAcentral is "tRNA-Trp". The record is from RNAcentral. Lineage: Eukaryota; Metazoa; Annelida; Polychaeta; Sabellida; Siboglinidae.
AACAAAAAUACAUUAGUAGUAUGAUUUCGGCUCAUAAUCAGACCUUUGGUCUUUUGUUU